GGUUAGCUUCUCUGUCUCAUCGGCACUCAUAACCACCGUCGGAGAAGAUGCUACGGGUCGCCUCGUUAUUCUAUCCUCCAUUGGCUUUAUGCUUAUCCGAUUCCACGAACGUAUCUUCUUGUCCGACUCCUUAAUGCACGGCAACUGCCCGGCCGGGAAGACUCUCCUCGGAGUUCUAAUCUCAAGCGGCUGACGUCUCUUGUGGUCCUACUCAUUCGCCGGAAGGAGCUCCACAAGUUAUUUGAGAUGAUUGAAAUUGCGAAGAGACUUUAUGGAAAGUUGAAUACAAUUUUUAUGAAUGCUGUCCAGGAAGCCUGUGCUCACUGCGGUGAUAUUGAUUUAGCUCCGAAGAAUUCCACUGAAAUGUCCAAACCAAAUAAUUGUGGAGUAGACAAUGUCAGUUAUGGCACGCUAUUGAAGGAUUUCAAGGCCUGAAAUAAGCUGAGAUGACAACACAAAAAGCUAGAAGAUGGAUGUAUAGUGUCGCAGUUUGAUCCAAUCGACGAGGAAAUGACUUCUGGAAACUCAGUGAGGAAGAUACAGAUGCUUGGAGAGGGGAGGCCCACAUGGUGAUGGUCAUUAUUUAUGAGUGGGGGCAAAGCCACAUUACAUUCAUCCAGGUACUGUCCUUACUAAUCCUUAGCUCAAUUAAAAUCUCCAAUUUGCCAAUUUCUUUCAUCCUCGUCCUCGGGUC
Long non-coding RNA from Cucurbita moschata (crookneck pumpkin), 694 nucleotides. RefSeq lists it as uncharacterized. The record is from RefSeq and is a predicted model, not a curated record. Lineage: Eukaryota; Viridiplantae; Streptophyta; Magnoliopsida; Cucurbitales; Cucurbitaceae. The transcript has 3 exons.